Molecule: transfer RNA, 72 nt
Filed under: Hypseleotris bucephala
Lineage: Eukaryota; Metazoa; Chordata; Actinopteri; Gobiiformes; Eleotridae
Description: tRNA-Asp
Rfam family: tRNA
About the family: Transfer RNA (tRNA) molecules are approximately 80 nucleotides in length. Their secondary structure includes four short double-helical elements and three loops (D, anti-codon, and T loops). Further hydrogen bonds mediate the characteristic L-shaped molecular structure. tRNAs have two regions of fundamental functional importance: the anti-codon, which is responsible for specific mRNA codon recognition, and the 3' end, to which the tRNAs corresponding amino acid is attached (by aminoacyl-tRNA synthetases). tRNAs cope with the degeneracy of the genetic code in two manners: having more than one tRNA (with a specific anti-codon) for a particular amino acid; and 'wobble' base-pairing, i.e. permitting non-standard base-pairing at the 3rd anti-codon position.
Source: RNAcentral
AAGACACUAGUAUAGCUGAAAAUACACUGCUUUGUCAGGGCAGAGUCGUGGGCUAAAAUCCCGCGUGUCUUA